RNAcentral lists this ribosomal RNA (252 nucleotides) under uncultured bacterium. Its description in RNAcentral is "partial 16S ribosomal RNA". It matches the Rfam family "Bacterial small subunit ribosomal RNA", at positions 524 to 776 of the family's 1533-position model. The record is from RNAcentral.
UACGUAGGUCCCGGGCGUUGUCCGGAUUUAUUGGGCGUAAAGCGAGCGCAGGUGGUUUAUUAAGUCUGGUGUAAAAGGCAGUGGCUCAACCAUUGUAUGCAUUGGAAACUGGUAGACUUGAGUGCAGGAGAGGAGAGUGGAAUUCCAUGUGUAGCGGUGAAAUGCGUAGAUAUAUGGAGGAACACCGGUGGCGAAAGCGGCUCUCUAGCCUGUAUCUGACACUGAGGCUCGAAAGCGUGGGGAGCAAACAGG